This 253-nucleotide ribosomal RNA is filed under the name uncultured bacterium. RNAcentral describes it as "partial 16S ribosomal RNA". It matches the Rfam family "Bacterial small subunit ribosomal RNA", at positions 524 to 776 of the family's 1533-position model. The record is from RNAcentral.
CACGUAGGGCGCAAGCGUUGUCCGGAAUUAUUGGGCCUAAAGCAUCCGUAGCCGGUUCUACAAGUCUUCCGUUAAAUCCACCUGCUUAACAGAUGGGCUGCGGAAGAUACUAUAGAGCUAGGAGGCGGGAGAGGCAAGCGGUACUCGAUGGGUAGGGGUAAAAUCCGUUGAUCCAUUGAAGACCACCAGUGGCGAAGGCGGCUUGCCAGAACGCGCUCGACGGUGAGGGAUGAAAGCUGGGGGAGCAAGCCGG